UGGGGUGUCGACAAGCGGCAAGUCAGCAGAUUUUGAUUCUGCCAUCCGAAGGUUCGAAUCCUUCCACCCCAGCCA
RNAcentral lists this transfer RNA (75 nucleotides) under Bacteriovoracaceae bacterium. RNAcentral describes it as "tRNA-Gln". It matches the Rfam family "tRNA". From Rfam's summary of the family: Transfer RNA (tRNA) molecules are approximately 80 nucleotides in length. Their secondary structure includes four short double-helical elements and three loops (D, anti-codon, and T loops). Further hydrogen bonds mediate the characteristic L-shaped molecular structure. tRNAs have two regions of fundamental functional importance: the anti-codon, which is responsible for specific mRNA codon recognition, and the 3' end, to which the tRNAs corresponding amino acid is attached (by aminoacyl-tRNA synthetases). tRNAs cope with the degeneracy of the genetic code in two manners: having more than one tRNA (with a specific anti-codon) for a particular amino acid; and 'wobble' base-pairing, i.e. permitting non-standard base-pairing at the 3rd anti-codon position. The record is from RNAcentral. Lineage: Bacteria; Pseudomonadati; Bdellovibrionota; Bacteriovoracia; Bacteriovoracales; Bacteriovoracaceae.